GAUGAACGCUGGCGGCGUGCCUAAUACAUGCAAGUCGAGCGAACGGACGAGAAGCUUGCUUCUCUGAUGUUAGCGGCGGACGGGUGAGUAACACGUGGAUAACCUACCUAUAAGACUGGGAUAACUUCGGGAAACCGGAGCUAAUACCGGAUAAUAUUUUGAACCGCAUGGUUCAAAAGUGAAAGACGGUCUUGCUGUCACUUAUAGAUGGAUCCGCGCUGCAUUAGCUAGUUGGUAAGGUAACGGCUUACCAAGGCAACGAUGCAUAGCCGACCUGAGAGGGUGAGCGGCCACGCUGGAACUGAGACACGGUCCAGACUCCUACGGGAGGCAGCAGUAGGGAAUCUUCCGCAAUGGGCGAAAGCCUGACGGAGCAACGCCGCGUGAGUGAUGAAGGUCGUCGGAUCGUAAAACUCUGUUAUUAGGGAAGAACAUAUGUGUAAGUAACUGUGCACAUCUUGACGGUACCUAAUCAGAAAGCCACGGCUAACUACGUGC
Molecule: ribosomal RNA, 498 nt
Filed under: uncultured bacterium
Lineage: Bacteria
Description: partial 16S ribosomal RNA
Rfam family: Bacterial small subunit ribosomal RNA
Source: RNAcentral